GCCGGGCAUGGUGGUGCAUGCCUGUAAUCCCAGCUACUUGGGAGGCUGAGGCAGGAGAAUCGCUUGAACCCAGGCGGUGGAGGUUGCAGUGAACUGAGAUUGUGCCAUUGCACUCCGGCCUGGGCGAUAAAGUGAGACUCCGUCUCAA
This is an unclassified non-coding RNA of Macaca fascicularis (crab-eating macaque), 148 nucleotides long. It matches the Rfam family "Metazoan signal recognition particle RNA". From Rfam's summary of the family: The signal recognition particle (SRP) is a universally conserved ribonucleoprotein. It is involved in the co-translational targeting of proteins to membranes. The record is from Ensembl. Lineage: Eukaryota; Metazoa; Chordata; Mammalia; Primates; Cercopithecidae.